Molecule: long non-coding RNA, 1783 nt
Filed under: Olea europaea subsp. europaea
Lineage: Eukaryota; Viridiplantae; Streptophyta; Magnoliopsida; Lamiales; Oleaceae
Source: RNAcentral
AUGCAAUUCCAACUGUAAACUGCCAGAAGAAAAGCUUUCAUGUGCCCACUUCUCCUAACGAUGUUUUCUCACCGCCAGCCGGAAGAUCAAAGGUUACAUCAUUGCAAGGGGCCUAGGAGAUCUGGAGGCAUUUCUUUGAAGAAAACUAAAACCCUUCAUCAAUUGUCACGAAUGAUUCUACUUUUAGAAGAAUGAAGGUGUAGUGUACUAAUAAUCAUCAGGAAUAUCAAGCCUAUGUUGUUUUGGACCUUUUUAAUAUCGUUUCUUAUGGUUCAUUUUGUGCAAGUUCAUUAAUGAAAACUUCAUUGUGAUGUGUUCCAUUAUUAAUUUGUUGUUCUUGUAAAUUGUCAAACAUCCAACAGUUGGAAGAACAACAACAUUAGAAGAAGUUGAAGACAAAAGAAUUUGAACUCUAACUUCUUGAAUUUCCAUAAUACGUGGUGCUACAAUCCCACAAACUUUACCAUUCUCAAUCAGUUUCAACAAUUCUAGUACUAUGGCCAGGAUAUUAAAACCUAAAAGUUUUAAAUUUUUUUUGGAUAACCAAUAAAGUUCCACGGGUCAUUCUUGAGUUAAUUUUUUUUCCCAUGUGGAUUACAAAUUCUUACUUCUAUCUCACAACCCCAAACAUGCAAGUGCCUUAUACUGAGUUACCUUCUCGUCUAGUAUUUAAAUUGAGUCUUUAGAACCGCCUUAUGAAGAACCCCUUUAUCUAUAUUCACAAUAGACUUUAAAUCACAUAUCUUCAAAAAGACAGGAAAAGAAAAAUUAAAUUACACUUCGGGGUAUUGUCUACUUACAUCAUACCCUCUGAUCGUAUUAAAUUUUGAAAGUGUCCGGUAUCAUGAAUAAGUAAUAAAAUGAUAAGUAAAGUAUCGCUCUCAUGAAAACUAGAUCGUUCCCACGAGAAACUAUGUACUAAACCUAUGAUCAGUAAAUGUUAACUUUAAUCGAAUAGCCAAAUAUGAUUGAAGAAUUAAUACUAGUUAACUAAUUAAAUUAUUCCAAUGAUCAAAUUAUGGAAAGCUUUGUAAAUUUAGAUAAGAUGAUUACUAAGACUUUGAAUCCCCAUUCUUAGUCCAUUUUAAUACAAUUCAAUAUCAUGAUAAUAUGUAUGUGUUUUUGUUGAUCGAUGUCCUAAAUUAUUUAAUAAUCUCUCUCGAGUAAAAUUAAAUCCUUCCCUUGUAUGACCUUUCUGUAUCUCUAUGAAAGAUGUAAACAUGGCAAUAUGCAUUAAGAGCCUAUUUGAUACCCAAAAAAAAAAAAAAAAAUAGGAGGAGCCUAUUUGAGCCCUUUAUUUUUGCCCAAAAUGUAUUUUGAUAUAGUAUUUUGAUGGAGAAUGUGUGGUUAGAAAAUAAGAAAUUUUUUUGAAUAUUUGUGUAAUAUUAAUAUAUUAAAGGAUGUGUAGUUGAAAAUAAGAGAAAAAAUGUAUUUUGAAAAUAACGGGGACCGAACAAGGACUAAAAACACUAGAACAUCUAUUGGAAUCAUACAAAUCAUAGAGGUAUCUCUCUAUCUCUUUUCGGACCUCAUAAUGGUUGUUAAAAGUGCAAUUUUCCAAUUAUCUCUCUCAAUAACAAUAAAAUUCGCAAAUCGAUCCAAUUAGUGAGCAAGUAAUUGAAAUGCAUUAAACAUAAUAACAAUCAUUUCAGAACAAACACAUAUUGAGCAUCCAAAUAUUGAAUUUAUAUUCAAAGCUUCAUAACAAGGGUUCAUCUAUAUCUUAGUAAAUAGAAAUCUAGCCUAAAAUUACAAAAGUACAAGAAAUUAUGAUAAUAUGUAG